This 23-nucleotide non-coding RNA is filed under the name Cricetulus griseus (Chinese hamster). Lineage: Eukaryota; Metazoa; Chordata; Mammalia; Rodentia; Cricetidae. The record is from RNAcentral.
CUCUAACAUGAUUUGAGAAGCUG